This 339-nucleotide ribosomal RNA is filed under the name Triticum aestivum (bread wheat). Its description in RNAcentral is "partial small subunit ribosomal RNA". Lineage: Eukaryota; Viridiplantae; Streptophyta; Magnoliopsida; Poales; Poaceae. The record is from RNAcentral.
AUGAGGCCGCCUGACAACACGCGGACGCCCGUCGAGGCCGACGCCGAUGAGGCCGGCGCCGAUGCGGCCUGCGGCUCAUCGCGGAAGUCUAACACGGCGGAUCUUCCCUCUAUCUUGACGUCGUCGGCGUACUCUCCCUCUACUCGUGCGGCGGCGCCGUCGGGUGGAGGGGCGGGUCGAGCGGCAGCGGCGGGAGUGGAUCCCGGCAUCAAAUCGGAUGGUGAGAUCGCGGGAGGGCUGCCGAAGUUGCGGCACUGGCAGGUCCAAUUUUCGACCCUUGGAUCGUGGGGCGUCUUCGGUUCACACCAUCGUCACGAUGGAUGGCCCUGUUGGAUUUGA